Coturnix japonica (Japanese quail) is the source of this 207-nucleotide non-coding RNA. The record is from RefSeq and is a predicted model, not a curated record. NCBI's taxonomy places the organism in Eukaryota, Metazoa, Chordata, Aves, Galliformes, Phasianidae.
GUAAUGGGGGGCUAUGGGGGGUAUUAAACUGGUUUUUGCCCCCCCCCCAGUUUUGCCCCUUGUAAGAGGGAACAUGGAGAACCCAGAUGCCACCAGUCCCUUCGACUAUGACUGGUACCGGCUGCGCGUUGUGGGGCUGGUGGUGGCGGCUGUGCUGUGUGUCACCGGGAUCGGGAUCCUGCUCAGUGAGUGACAACUAUGGGGUCA